GAAAUGUAACAGUUUAACGUUAGGGACUUUGUUGCCUUAUCAGUUGAAUACUGGCACAGACAAAACAACCCAGAGAGAGAGAGAGAGAGCGAGCGAGAGAGAGAGAGAGAGAGAGAGAGAGAGAGAGAGAGAGAGAGAGAGAGAGGGAAAAAAAAGAAAAUCAAAAUAGGGUCCUGUCUGAGGGGUUAUUCACACUUCACUCACUGGACACAUCGUCAUGGCGGGACUUCACACACACAGCUCGCACAAGCUCUGGGCACGUUCAUUCCCAUGAGAAGGCAGGCCCGUAAACAAAGAAAUCCUAUCAGACGUCGAGUGAAGGUGACUGGAAGGUUGCCAGCUGCAACAAAUCCUCUUGAUCCGUACAAAGCUGGGGAACACAGAGAAAGAGGCCAGUCUCCAAUGUUCCCCGGGCCCACCAUGGAGCCUGCACAAUGAACCUGGCACCCCUGAUCUGAAUGAGCUCGGCUAACACCCCCCUACCAGGAGGAAAGGAGGUUUGUCAGGCCCCUCCGAGGAGUGAGGACCACCGUGGUGAACACAG
Molecule: long non-coding RNA, 544 nt
Organism: Sardina pilchardus (European sardine)
Lineage: Eukaryota; Metazoa; Chordata; Actinopteri; Clupeiformes; Clupeidae
Exons: 3
Source: RefSeq, a predicted model, not a curated record